RNAcentral lists this ribosomal RNA (253 nucleotides) under uncultured archaeon. RNAcentral's name for it is "partial 16S ribosomal RNA". It matches the Rfam family "Archaeal small subunit ribosomal RNA", at positions 474 to 727 of the family's 1478-position model. The record is from RNAcentral.
AACCAGCACCUCAAGUGGUCAGGAUGAUUAUUGGGCCUAAAGCAUCCGUAGCCGGCUCUGUAAGUUUUCGGCUAAAUUUAUAUGCUCAACGCAUAGGCUGUCGGGAAUACUGCAGAGCUAGGGAGUGGGAGAGGUAGACGGUACUCGGUAGGAAGGGGUAAAAUCCUUUGAUCUAUCGAUGACCACCUGUGGCGAAGGCGGUCUACCAGAACACGUUCGACGGUGAGGGAUGAAAGCUGGGGGAGCAAACCGG